This 267-nucleotide non-coding RNA is filed under the name Clostridiales bacterium. RNAcentral describes it as "T-box sequence". It matches the Rfam family "T-box leader". Rfam says of the family: Uncharged tRNA acts as the effector for transcription antitermination of genes in the T-box leader family. Lineage: Bacteria; Bacillati; Bacillota; Clostridia; Eubacteriales. The record is from RNAcentral.
UCAAUGGCAAUGAAGGGAAAAAGUACGCUAUCAAGGAGUUACAGAGAGCCGGCGGGGGGUGCAAGCCGGUACGAGUUGGUUGCCGAAGUUCUUUCCGGAGCUUUCCCGCUGAAAUAAGUAGGCAGGAACGGCGUGACGGUCGUUAAUGCGUCAUGAGUUGAUCAAAUGAUAAUUAGGGUGGUACCGCGGAGUUUUCCGUCCCUGGGUGCCAUCCUUUUUUAUUUGAUAAUUAGGGUGGUACCGCGACCGCGUCCCGUCGUCCCUUCU